RNAcentral lists this ribosomal RNA (400 nucleotides) under uncultured bacterium. RNAcentral's name for it is "bacterial SSU rRNA". It matches the Rfam family "Bacterial small subunit ribosomal RNA", at positions 355 to 772 of the family's 1533-position model. The record is from RNAcentral.
UGGGGAAUAUUGGACAAUGGGGGAAACCCUGAUCCAGCAAUGCCGCGUGAGUGAUGAAGGCCUUCGGGUUGUAAAGCUCUUUUACCUGUGAAGAUAAUGACGGUAGCAGGGGAAUAAGCUCCGGCUAACUUCGUGCCAGCAGCCGCGGUAAUACGAAGGGAGCUAGCGUUGUUCGGAAUUACUGGGCGUAAAGGGCGCGUAGGCGGCCUUAUAAGUUAGAUGUGAAAGACCUGGGCUUAACCUGGGAAGUGCAUUUAAGACUGUAGGGCUAGAGGAUGAGAGAGGAAAGUGGAAUGACGAGUGUAGAGGUGAAAUUCGUAGAUAUUCGUUGGAACACCAGUGGCGAAGGCGACUUUCUGGAUCAUAACUGACGCUAAGGCGCGAAAGCGUGGGGAGCAAA